UGCGUAGGCGGCCUGUUAAGUCAGGGGUGAAAGACGGUAGCUCAACUAUCGCAGUGCCCUUGAUACUGACGGGCUUGAAUAGACUAGAGGUAGGCGGAAUGAGACAAGUAGCGGUGAAAUGCAUAGAUAUGUCUCAGAACACCGAUUGCGAAGGCAGCUUACUAUGGUCUGAUUGACGCUGAGGCACGAAAGCGUGGGGAUCAAACAGGAUUAGAUACCCGCGUA
Molecule: ribosomal RNA, 225 nt
Filed under: uncultured Pedobacter sp.
Lineage: Bacteria; Pseudomonadati; Bacteroidota; Sphingobacteriia; Sphingobacteriales; Sphingobacteriaceae
Description: partial 16S ribosomal RNA
Rfam family: Bacterial small subunit ribosomal RNA
Source: RNAcentral